RNAcentral lists this long non-coding RNA (9503 nucleotides) under Vitis vinifera (wine grape). RNAcentral describes it as "long non-coding RNA (VVIN_LNC002041)". Lineage: Eukaryota; Viridiplantae; Streptophyta; Magnoliopsida; Vitales; Vitaceae. The record is from RNAcentral.
AUUAGUGAUCUUGUGAAAUGAAACUCUCACUUUUUUGUCCCUCAAUACUUUUGAUUUGUGAUUUUCUGUCCCUUGUUUUUUACGCUUUUUUUAUGCAAUUGUUUUUCUUUGCUUCCCCUGCAUCUGUCAUUACUUGUUGCUUACUAGGAAGUAAUGAUGGAGAGUUGAUGAGCAAGACCCCAAGAACAAGAUGCAUUAGACAAUGUCAAUGUAUUGACUGUUGAAGGCUAAUAAUAAAUUGUGUCUUUGGCUUAGAACUUACUUGAAUUCUUACUUACAGGAGUAUUGCCCAAGUAUUUUAGCUCAGAGUGGUCAGUGGCUCAGUUUCGCUUGCCUGAAGGUUCUCAAUACAUUGUUGCUUUUGGUCACCAGAAGAAUACUGUGGUAAUUCUUGGAAUGGAUGGAAGGUAAGUGAGCACCAAGCUCAAAGAGGACAAACUUUAUGUAAUCCAAUAUAACUGCUUGUUACUUUGAAAUUUUCCUAUUGGCAUGCUCAAUUUUGACUUUUUAGAAAGUAUACACAUAUAUUCACCAGACUAUCAUCUGGGCUGUGGUUGGAGGGAAGAGUGGCUUCUACUGAACAACAAGCGUUUUUCAAGUUGCUUGUUGAUCAGGAGAGAGCUGCAGACCAUACAUCACAUGCAGUCAUCAGUCUUAGUAAGCUAUUCAUUGUAGAAACAUCUCCUUCUUUCUAGCAUAGGUUAAAACAUUGCAUCUGGAAGGUUGCAUGAGACAUUUUCUUUGACCACUAUAUUUUUAUUUCCCUGAUUCUUCUUUGCCUGCAACCCAUGUUUUUGCCUCUCUCUCUUCCCUCCAUCAGCCCAUGUUUCUUUUUCUUUUUUGUUUCACAUUCAUCAUAACGUUUUCUGUUAGAAAAGAAACUGGAAAUAAAAUUGUUGAUAUUCACUUGAAUUUGAAUGAUUGAAUGCAGCUUCUAUCGAUGUCAGUUCGAUGCAGUGAGCGGUGGAGAGAUGAUUCAGCUGGAGUACCACAACUUCCUUAAACCUGAAAAUACUAUGUAAUAGGGGCUUGGGUUACUUGUACGUUCUAUUUCUGGGCUAUGUAUAUAACAUUCCCUUUAUGGUUUUUAUCUUGCAUUUUACCCUUACCUAUGGAUGGCUACACAAAUCUAUUGUAAGUAUCUCAGUGUAGAUGGGUCACAAUCUAUAUAUACUGAUUAUAGUCAAUAUGAAAACAAAUUAAAGCAAACUUGUGUAGCAACUGUCUUCAUCCUAUUCAUAGUUUAAUUUCUUCUUUUCUGUGAGAUCUGAGUAGUGGCAUGUGAGAUAACAGCGUGUAAAGUUUCAUUCCAGCCUAGCACACUCUUCUUCAACUUCACCUUAUCUUCUCUUCUUCUUCAGUUUUGAUUUAUUUUUAAUUUAAUAAAAUAAUUGUUUAAUGUAUCAUUCAGGGUUCGGUUGUACAUUUUUUUUUUUAAAGAAAAAAAUGUUUAAGUGAGGGAAUACCAAUGGCAGAGUCCUAAAAUAGCUAGUGACAAGGCUCAGACUUCAAGUCCUCUGUGCUUCCCCAUGCCUUUUAUUUCCCUUUGUAUAUUGGAAAUAUAGCCCCCAAAAAAUCAAAUAUUAAAUGAGGAAGAUAAGAAAGAUGACUUAUCGUAGUAACACAAUGUGACAGAAGGAACUAGUAAAAUAUAAAUUUACUAACUAAAUAAACUAGAUGCCAUGUGUCAAAAAAAUAUUAUAGAUUUUGAAAUUGUUUAUCAGAGAUCUCAUUUCAAAAAAAAAAUUUUUUUUAAGUUAGUGAAUUUCUUCUUUUUUGCAUUUUUUUUUCUUUUUUUUUUUUUAUAAAAAAAAUCCCUCAUUUUUUGCCCUUGGAACUUCAAUCUUGCUUGGUUAGCUUAAUUCAAUGGUUUAGGGGUCAGAAAGAGGUGGUGACCAACCUGCAAAUACCACCCAACAAUGCAAUUAUGCAAGAAGAAGGGUCUGAAAGCCUGAAAGCUUGUUUGAUGAUAAACCCCAAAAAAGCUUUGGAAUACAAAGAGUGUUGGGGACAAGAAAUGAGAACGCAUCUCAAGAUGAAAUCUAAGGUCUCCAAAUUUGGUGCACUGAAAACUGUGAUUUUGACUGACUCACCUCUGACUUUUCUUUCUGCAGCAGCUUUGCCCCCAUCCACCCACCCACCCACAUGCCUACCUCCAUCGUCACACCCCACACACCCCCCCUCUAUACACCAUUUUCAUCACGCAAUCAUAGCUUCUUUUCCUUCCCUGAUAUCCCACAAUCAUCAGAUUCAUCACUCUACCUUGGACCACACACCCCUCCCAAGUAAUACAACUUUUUUUUCCCUUUUUACCCCUAUGAAUAGUCAAAGAAUUUAAUUGUAUGUCACAGACUCACAAUCAGCCAUACAGCUCCAAUGUUUCAGAGAGAAAGAAAAAAAAAAAAAAAAAAAGUACAUGGGUGGAGUGUAGCAUUGGGCCUCUUACAUAGACCAUGUGAUACUGAGUCAUAUUUACCUGACCAAAUGUAUAAAAUAAUUAACAAUCCAGAUUCACAUGGCAUAUAUAGAAAUGAAAAUGGCCCCAUUCAUAAUGUUCCUCUGAAAUUUCAUGAUACCAAUGGUGGGUCAAUAUCUGACCACUAAUUGGGGAUUUAAAACUAAUCUUCUGCCAUUAAUUUACAUCUCCAAUGAAUAAACAACUCUCAUUUUAUCAAAAAGUUUUAUUAUAUCAACUCGAAUAAUUAAAAUCCAUCAACUCUAAAUUAUUUUUUUUUAAAAGAAAAAUAAUUUGAGUGUAUGAAAUUAUUUUUUUAAAUUACAAAUUGAAUUGGUAAUUUACCAAUUCAUUUCCAUUAUAGUUAUGAAUAAAUCAUUUCGUAUACCACUAAAUAAACCCAUGAUCUAAGCCUUGAUUUAAAAAAAAAAAAUUCUAAAGUUGGUAGUGUAUACACAUUCAAAUAUAAUCUAUAUUUUUUUUUUACUUUGAUGCAAUUUAAGAAACAAUUUUUUUUUUCCAAAUAUCAAAACUAUUUUUAUUUUUCAUAAUCUAUAUUUUAAAUUAAUUAAGACUUUAAUUAUAAUUAUUUUUGAAAGUUGAUUCUUCUUUCUUUUUCGCAAAGCUCACAAGAGCAUAUAAUUUGAAAAAUAGAAAAAAUAAAAAAGAAGAAGAAAAACAAGGAAUGUUCUUAAUGAAUUUGUGUAGAAAAUUAUUUUAUAUUCAAUAAAAUUUUAAAAAUACUAAAAUAUUUAAACUUUGUUUCCAACUUCUAAAAAAAAUAAAAGAUGUGAUUACAACAUUGAAAAAUGCUUUCUCGAUUUCUAUUGAAAAAAUAGUAUGAAUUAAAUGGUGUCAAAUAUAUAUUUUUAUGUAUUCUUAUUUAAUCUAAGUCCAUAUUUUUUUGUUCAAUAUUAAGCUACAUUACCUUUUCAUUGUCCAAAAAUUAUUGCAAGCAAGAAUAGUAUUUACCUGUGCCUUUUCUUCUUCAUGAAUUCAAUGUGAACAGUAGAGAAGUCCUUUCUAAAGGAGCGGGGCAAGUUGAUUGAAACAAGAGAAUCGAGGUGGACAGCAACUACACGAAACACCACUGCAUAAGAAGCCAACAAACUAGUAUAUAAAGCCCACCAUACCCUCUUCAUUUGCAGUACCACCUCACCAUCCUCCAUUCAUAUUGCCCAUUUUCACCCACCUCUUUCUCUCUCUUUUUCUAUUUUUUCUCACCUACCCUCCUUCUCUUUCUCUCUGCCUCUCAGUUUCUCAGUCUUUCAAUGGCGCUCAAGCUCCAUGGAAUUCCCAUGUCCACAUGCACCACUCGUGUCCUCACCUGUCUCCAUGAGAAAGGCUUGGAUUUUGAGCUUGUCCCUGUUAAUCUCUUUGCAGGUGAACAUAAGCAGCCUCCUUUUCUUGCCAAGAAUGUGAGUCUCACUUCCCUCUUUCUUUCUAAUCAUCCCUCUUUAUUCUCUUUGAAGAUUUUACUUUUCUUUGGGGUUGUAUAAAUUAUGAUUUUCCUUGGUUUGGGUACAUUGUUUUUAGUGUGCAGUCUUGUCGAUUUGAUUUUGGUCUUGGUUUUGUUAUACAUAUAUGCAGCCCUUUGGACAGAUUCCAGUUCUGGAAGAUGGCGAUCUCACUCUUUUUGGUAAGUCCUCGGUUUUAAUCACUUUCCUCAUAAAAGCUUGAAAUUUGUUGUACUGUACUACCAUCAGGAUUGACAGUUCCUGAGAUUUAUUAGCUGCUUGCUUUUGAACAAAAUUUUGCUUUAAAAAAUUAAAGGAGUUUUUCUUACAAAAUCAUGCUAUUUAGUACAACAUACGAGCUGGGUCUAUGAUACUAUUAAGUAUACUAUUGCCCCAGCCUUACUGAAAAUCCCUAGUCGAUGAAGUUGGGUUACUGAAAUUAUGUAUAUGUACCAGAAUCUAGGGCAAUAACAGCAUAUUUGGCCGAGAAAUACAAGGAAACGGGGUGUGAUCUCUUGAGGCACAAUGACCUCAAAGAAGCUGCAUUGGUGAAGGUGUGGUUGGAGGUUGAAUCCCAACAAUAUCAUCCGGCAAUAUACCAGAUUGUGUACCAGUUCUUCGUGUUGCCUCUACAAGGCAAGACGGCCGAUCAGGCCAUUAUUGAUGUAAAUCUGGAGAAGUUGGGUAAGGUUCUGGAUGUGUAUGAGGCCAGGCUGGGCACCACAAAGUGCCUAGCAGGAGAUUUCUACAGCUUGGCUGAUCUUCACCACCUUUCUUACACUUACUAUUUCAUGAAGACGCCAUGGGCUUCCCUCAUAAACAGCCGUCCCAAUGUGAAGGCAUGGUGGGAGGACAUUUCCUCAAGGCCAGCUUUCAAGAAAGUGGCUGAAGGCAUGACUUUUGGUGAGAAGUGAUCGGUUUCUGAGCAGUGUGGCUCUAUGUUUUGGGGUAAUAUUAAUUGUAGUGGUUGCUGCCUCUUAAUUACGUGUAUUUAAGUGUGAGACCACGUAAUAAUUACUGAUUAUGUGUUAUGAUUUGCCCUAAAUUAAUCAGAAAUGUGGAAUUAUCUGGGGUUUCUCAUUGUGGUAAUUAAUCUGCUUGCAACCAGUUUUUGAAAGGGUUUGAUGCAUUUUUACUCCAUACUUUGCUUUAGCUAGGGUUAUGUUGGUGUCUCUAAGGCAUAAUGCUUCCAUUUUUGAGUCAUUGCAUACUCAGAUCAAAGUUUUCAAGACUUGUAGAAAAUGGGUUUUGGUAUUUUCAUGAAAGAGAAUGAAAGGGCAAAUUUCUUCACAAGGCAUGUAGUAAGGGUUUUCCCUUUCAAUCAGUCUUUUUCCUGAGAAACAAACAGAAUGUAUAUCAUGCCGUGUCAUCCACUGUGACAGUUUUCCUCUGAAGAGUUUUACUGCAGUACUUCCUAUUUAUUCCCAUUUUUACUUCCCAAACGAGGUAAACACGUACUGUACUGCAGCUCUGGUUAUUUUCAUCAUCCUUGCUUGUCCAAAGCAGCUUCACUCUUUGAACCUAUUUUUAUUGUUAUAUAUAUAUAUAUAUUAGGUCAAAUUAAUCUUCCAAUUUUCUAACUCUAAGCCCUUGCAAAGAGUUUUUGUAGUAUCAUAUGUAUCUACUAUCAGUCAAGCAGAAACUGGAUAAUGUUCUAUAUACGCUUCAAUAAUUAUGGAUCCAGCAAAGGAGAUCUUUUGUUAUGCUACGGGUCUCUACUAAAAUCUGAGGCUGGAACCCACUUCAAUUAUUCACUCAUUUUGUUCUCAUAGAACCUUCAGCCAUGUGACCCUCACCCUCCAACUAACUUUCAACCACAUCUACCACCUUUCUUUCCUUUUUAUUUUUAUUUUUUAGUUUUGACCUAAUUCCAUCUAACUCUCAAAAUGUAUUCUAAAUCAUGCAUCACAGUCUCAAAAUAUAUGUAGGCCCUUCUCUCUAGAUUCUUGAUUCUAUAGUCUUGUACAACCCAAAUUUCUUAGACUCUAGUCUGAAUAAGCUUGAUAGACAUGAUUGUGCUUAUUAUUUAAUAAUUUAAGUUUUUCUUAUAGUAAUUAAUAGUUUAAUAUGAUAUAAUAAAAUUUCUUAUCUUAAUUAAUUUGUAAAAUUAUCUAGAUGAGAUAAAUAGAUAGUCCUAAUUUUUAACUCCAAAAAUUGAUUUUUUUUCUCAAUUAUAAAUUUUCUUAAUCCAAUGCGAGAUUCAAAUAUCAAAAUAAUAGCUAGUUUCAUAAGACACUUGAUGUAUGUGGAAAACCAUCAACAAUCAUGGGUUUGCAAAACAAAGUAAUUACUAAAUCUAAAAGAAUAAGUACACAAUUUUUAUCAAAAUUUGAUACUAUCUUCUCCCAAGGGUCUUAUGUUGGCACAUAUUUACACUUGUUUUCAUGUUUGAGAUGCAACACCUUAUACCCUUUAGGAAACUCCUCAACUACUUGAUAACAUAUAAUCAACCAUUAUGAUUUGAUCUCAAAUAAGAGUUAAGCGAUUGAAAAUGUAUGUGUAGUGAGUUUGAAAUGAGAAUGAUAGAGAAAUUGAACUUUUUCAUUAGACUUUAAAUGAAGCCAUUAAGGAAGAGAUCCACUCCCAAGAUUAAUUCAAGAUGGGGAUAUAAAAAUGGUAUCUUACCAUAAUGACGUCAUCCAUCAAACUUUAUAUGAAGAAGAUAAAUCCAUUGGUUGAACUCUUUAUAGAGGAAUAAUUGACUCUUUAUCAUUAAACAAUAUAUGUUUGUUUUCAACUUGCAAAGAAUCUUAUUCUAGUGCUAUUAAAAAAAUUCUUAAAUAUUUAAAAAGAAUAAUUAAACUAUGUUUGUGAUAUCAUGCAUACUAACUUUGAUCUAAUUAACUAAUUAAAAGUGGAUUUUCCGUUUGUAAAAGUAAUGGAAAUGUAUUAGUGGUACUUAUAAUGUUUGUUUUCAAUCUUACAAAGAAUCUUAUUUUAGUGCUAUUAAAAAUAUUCUUAAAUAUUUAAAAAGAAUAAUUAAACCACGUUUGUGGUAUCAUGCAUACUAACUUUGAUCUAAUUAACUAAUUAAAAAUGGGUUGUUCCAUUUGUAAAAGUAAUGGAAACGUAUUAGUGGUACUUCUAACUUUCUAGGCCACUCACUAGGUUUUGACAUAGUGAUCGAACCUUUGAUCAAUUGAGUUGUCGUGUGCGAUAUAUUUCAUAAUGACUAAUUGAUGCAUGGUGGUUUAGACUUAGUCUUAAUUGGUUGAGGACUUGUUGAUCAGAUGUUAAUCGAUUAAGGUUCUUGCACCUUAAUGAUUACCUCCAAGUGUACUUUUAUUUAAUAGCAUGUUUCUUAGUCCAUCGCCUAAUCCACUAAUUCAGCUAAAAAUGUGCCUAAGGGCUAGUUUCACUCUAGAACUCUUAUUUAAAACUUUCCAACCUUGAGCAAUCAUUGUAGCAAUUUAUUGAAUGGUUCUCUAGAAUACUCUUAUUCCCAAACUCGCAAGUCUCAUUUAGUCUACCUUAAUCUUAGUUUAUUUAUAUAUUUGAUCCUGAAUUUUGCAAACUAGAAAGCUUACUUUAAGAAAUUCACUCUUGUAUUCAUGAAAGAGUAUACUGAAAUGUAAGGGAUCACUUGAGGGCAUUGCAAAGGCAUAUUGGAAGCUUAAAUAUAAGUGUAAAAAAAUUAAAAGCAAAAUCUUAGCACUAGUGAAUGGACCUCAAGCUUAGAUUGAUGAAAGAGAGAGUGGAUAUAGGAGUUAUAGAACCAUUAUAAGUACUUUAUUGCAUCACUCUAUCCCUAUCUCUAUUAAUUUACUUGCACUAUAUUAAUUUUUAUAAUUUGCUUUUUAAUUUUCUAAAUUUUGCAAAAGAACUAACACCGAAUUCUCCUCCCCUCUUGGGUGUCUUCCUCAAGUGAACUCAACUAAUUUGCUUUUCAAUUUUCUAAAAUCAUGAAUCAAUGUAUCAUAAAGCAAAUCCACUAAUUUAAAAAGAAUUAAUACACGGUUUUACCUUAACCAUAUGUUAUCUUCCCCUAAUAAUCUUACACCAAUCAACACAUCCAUUUGUUUUCACGUUUGCAAUGCAAUAUAUGCUCCUUAGUAAACUCCUUAGCAAUUUGAGAUAAUACAAUCAACCAUCAUAAUUUAUCCUUUAAUUAAAGUUAAGUUUUCAGGAAUAUUGGAAACACACAUGAGAAUAACGACAAUUAUUUUCGAGAGCAUGUUGUUUUUUCAAUAUAAGGAGAAAAUCUUACUAAGUCUAUCCAAAUACAUUAAUUGAAAAAAAUAUAGAAUUAGAAAAUCAUGAAAAAAAAAAAACAAAUGGGUCCAAGGUAAACCGAUGUACUCCAUUUUGUCAUGAAUAUUCACUAAAAAUUACUCAACCGUACACAAGCUUGACACACAACAUUUCCCCACUACGUAAUAGCCAUUAAAUCAAAUGAAAAAUAAAAUCUCCAACGUUAAAUUAAGUUGACACCGUGUGCAUCCCUGGUUUCAUAAUGCAGAGUGAGAUGAAACAGAAUCGAUGCACAAGUACUGGGAAAUAAAAUUACCCAUCACGAGUCUAGAAAAUGGGUUCUGAUAUUUUCACAUAAGACAAUGUUGGAGGAUUCUAGGAAAAGAAAGAGAAUGCGGGAAAGGGAAAAUUCUUCACAUGCCUACAGCAUUUACGGCAUAAAGAACGUUUUCUUUCUCAAAGCAUGUGAUCUUUUUCCUGAGAACCAAACAGAUGGCAAAAGCAAGUUCCUGCUUGUCCAAAAAAACCCUGUACUCAUUGGACUAACAAAGCCUGAAUUAAAUAUGGGCCAUUUCGUACCUUCACCAUGGCCCAUUUCUUGUGAUGUUCUUUUGAAUAAAUUUAAGAAAUUACUGUUAGAAAUCAAAUAGAUUGAAUAAAUAUUUUAAUUUAUAAAAAAAUCAUCUUAAAUAAAUAACAAAUAAUAAAUAGGAGAAGGAAAAGAGAAAGUACGUAUAUUUGCAAUGUUACAUUACCUCACCUUAUCGUUUUCCAAAACUUAUAGUAAGCAAGAAUUGGAUUUACUUCUGCCUUCUAUUCUUCAUCAAUACAAUAUGAACGGUAGAGAAGUCCCUUGUUCUAAAGGAGCCGGGCAAGUCGAUUGAAACAAGCGAAUCGAGGUGGCCUGCAACUACCCUAAACAACACUGCAUAAGAAGCCAACAAACUAGUAUAUAACGCCCACCAUACCCUCUUCAUUUUCAGUACCACCUCACCAUCCUCCAUUCAUAUCGCCCAUUUUCACCCACCUCUUUCUCUCUCUCUCUCUCUCUCUCACUCUCUCAGUUUCUCAGUCUUUCAAUGGCGCUCAAGCUCCAUGGAAUUCCCAUGUCCACUUGCACCACUCGUGUCCUCACCUGUCUCCAUGAGAAAGGCUUGGAUUUUGAGCUUGUCCCUGUUAAUCUCUUUGCAGGUGAACAUAAGCAGCCUCCUUUUCUUGCCAAGAAUGUGAGUCUCACUUUCUUCUUUCUUUCUAAUCAUCUCUCUUUCUUCUCUCUGUAGAUUUUGCUUUCUUUGGGGUUGUAUAAAUUAUGAUUUUCCUUGGUUUGGGUACAUUGUUUUUAAUGUACAGUCUCGUCGAUUUGAUUUUGGUCUUGGUUUUGUUAUACAUAUAUGCAGCCC